Molecule: ribosomal RNA, 464 nt
Filed under: Vreelandella stevensii
Lineage: Bacteria; Pseudomonadati; Pseudomonadota; Gammaproteobacteria; Oceanospirillales; Halomonadaceae
Description: partial 16S ribosomal RNA
Rfam family: Bacterial small subunit ribosomal RNA
Source: RNAcentral
CCUACGGGGGGCUGCAGUGGGGAAUAUUGGACAAUGGGCGAAAGCCUGAUCCAGCCAUGCCGCGUGUGUGAAGAAGGCCUUCGGGUUGUAAAGCACUUUCAGUGGGGAAGAAAGCCUUGGGGCUAAUACCCUCGAGGAAGGACAUCACCAACAGAAGAAGCACCGGCUAACUCCGUGCCAGCAGCCGCGGUAAUACGGAGGGUGCGAGCGUUAAUCGGAAUUACUGGGCGUAAAGCGCGCGUAGGCGGUCUGAUAAGCCGGUUGUGAAAGCCCCGGGCUCAACCUGGGAACGGCAUCCGGAACUGUCAGGCUAGAGUGCAGGAGAGGAAGGUAGAAUUCCCGGUGUAGCGGUGAAAUGCGUAGAGAUCGGGAGGAAUACCAGUGGCGAAGGCGGCCUUCUGGACUGACACUGACGCUGAGGUGCGAAAGCGUGGGUAGCAAACAGGAUUAGAUACCCUGGUAGU